This is a long non-coding RNA of Culex pipiens pallens (northern house mosquito), 291 nucleotides long. RefSeq lists it as uncharacterized. The transcript is spliced from 2 exons. Lineage: Eukaryota; Metazoa; Arthropoda; Insecta; Diptera; Culicidae. The record is from RefSeq and is a predicted model, not a curated record.
ACAUGGUUUCAGCAUAGACUAUUAGUCUAUGGUUUCAGUUUUUCGUCUGUCUCGGUGGAUUAUCGACACCGGAAAAAUCUGUAUUCUUUCUCCAUUUCUGGAGUUAGAUUUAUGCGAGCAACUGCCAUGGAACCAGAAAUUUGCGCAAGGUUUGCAAGGAGGUGCGCAAGGUUUAACAUCGUCAAGGGAGCAAAACAGGCUGCGAAGAAGGCGCUGGCCGCGAAAAAAAGAAGGAAAAGCAGCCAAUCUGUCCCACAAGCCGCAAGUGGAGAGCCGGAAACGCAGACCAGU